AACUGUAAAUGGAAAGUAACCUUUAAAAAUUGUAUAAAAACAUUUUAAAAUUUUAUAAAUAAAUAAGAGGGAGGCAGGAGAUGAGAGCGGGGAGAAGGUGAUGAAAAAAUGGAAGCAGAGAUUAGAGUAACGUGAUUAUGAGUCACAGCCUCUAGAAGCCAGAAGAGGCAAGGAGAAUGGACUGUCGCCUGAGGCCUCCAGAAGGAACAGCCCAGCCAGCACCUUGAUGUUAGCCGGUGAAUGGCAAAACAGGAGAAAGGGUUCCCACGUCGGAGGUGUUUCCUGCUGGACCAGGCCUAGCAGUGAUGACAUCACUCUGACCACAUCCCAUUGGCUACGAGCCAAUCACAUGACCAUACCUAGCUGCAAAGGAGCCUGGGAAGUGUGUCUAAGCUGUGUGCCCAGGAGGAAUGGGGACUCAGAACAUUGCCACUGCCUCAGAAGAUGAGGAAGAAGAAUCUCUAAUAACUCCCCAGUCUCUAAAUUGAACAACCACAUAAAUAGUGACUCCGUUAACCCACGAGAGGAUGACCAAAGGGAAGAUGGACGGUCAGAUCUGCACAUUGUGAGUUCAAAGAGCCAGUGGAUAUUUGGGUAGGACUGGAUGUACAGGUUCUUAGUUCAAGAUCAGUCUGAGCCAGAGUGAGACCUCGUGAGCCUGCAAAAGGAGUUAAGUCUUAGGUCUCUGCUCUCAACUCUGAGAGGCACCCACCCAAGGGUGCUCACCGGGCAAAUGGAGCACAUCCAAUCUGGUUCCGUCAUCCCUGAACUCUUCACAAUUUUCCCAGCCAAACAGAAGUCUCCAUAAUAAAUGACAAAUAAUAAACUGUUACAAUAGUG
Molecule: non-coding RNA, 840 nt
Organism: Delphinapterus leucas (beluga whale)
Lineage: Eukaryota; Metazoa; Chordata; Mammalia; Artiodactyla; Monodontidae
Source: RefSeq, a predicted model, not a curated record